AAUUUUGGGCAAUGGGCGAAAGCCUGACCCAGCAACGCCGCGUGAAGGAUGAAGUCUUUCGGGAUGUAAACUUCGUAAGAAUGGGAAGAAUAAAUGACGGUACCAUUUGUAAGGUCCGGCUAACUACGUGCCAGCAGCCGCGGUAAUACGUAGGGACCAAGCGUUGUUCGGAUUUACUGGGCGUAAAGGGCGCGUAGGCGGCGUGUUAAGUCAGCUGUGAAAUCUCCAAGCUUAACUUGGAACGGUCAGCUGAUACUGAUGUGCUAGAGUGCGGAAGGGGCAAUCGGAAUUCUUGGUGUAGCGGUGAAAUGCGUAGAUAUCAAGAGGAACACCUGAGGUGAAGACGGGUUGCUGGGCCGACACUGACGCUGAGGCGCGAAAGCUAGGGUAGCAAAC
This 396-nucleotide ribosomal RNA is filed under the name uncultured bacterium. RNAcentral describes it as "bacterial SSU rRNA". It matches the Rfam family "Bacterial small subunit ribosomal RNA", at positions 360 to 773 of the family's 1533-position model. The record is from RNAcentral.